UAGGGAAUCUUCCGCAAUGGACGCAAGUCUGACGGAGCAACGCCGCGUGAGUGAAGAAGGAUUUCGGUUCGUAAAACUCUGUUGUUAGAGAAGAACAGCGCAUAGAGUAACUGUUAUGCGUGUGACGGUAUCUAACCAGAAAGCCACGGCUAACUACGUGCCAGCAGCCGCGGUAAUACGUAGGUGGCAAGCGUUGUCCGGAUUUAUUGGGCGUAAAGCGAGCGCAGGCGGUCAAUUAAGUCUGAUGUGAAAGCCCCCGGCUCAACCGGGGAGGGUCAUUGGAAACUGGUUGACUUGAGUGCAGAAGAGGAGAGUGGAAUUCCAUGUGUAGCGGUGAAAUGCGUAGAUAUAUGGACGAACACCAGUGGCGAAGGCGACUCUCUGGUCUGUAACUGACGCUGAGGCUCGAAAGCGUGGGUAGCAAACAGG
This 429-nucleotide ribosomal RNA is filed under the name Bacteroidota bacterium. RNAcentral describes it as "Bacteroidetes bacterium partial 16S ribosomal RNA". It matches the Rfam family "Bacterial small subunit ribosomal RNA", at positions 355 to 776 of the family's 1533-position model. Lineage: Bacteria; Pseudomonadati; Bacteroidota. The record is from RNAcentral.